RNAcentral lists this ribosomal RNA (630 nucleotides) under uncultured Acidobacteriota bacterium. Its description in RNAcentral is "bacterial SSU rRNA". It matches the Rfam family "Bacterial small subunit ribosomal RNA", at positions 58 to 720 of the family's 1533-position model. Lineage: Bacteria; Pseudomonadati; Acidobacteriota. The record is from RNAcentral.
CAAGUCGCACGAGAAAGGGGCUUCGGCUCUGAGUAAAGUGGCGCACGGGUGAGUAACACGUGAAUUAUCUACCUCCGAGUGGGGAAUAACUGAGAGAAAUCUUAGCUAAUACCGCAUAACACUUACGAGUCAAAGCAGCAAUGCGCUUGGAGAGGAGUUCGCGGCCGAUUAGUUAGUUGGCGGGGUAAUGGCCCACCAAGACGAUGAUCGGUAUCCGGCCUGAGAGGGCGCACGGACACACUGGAACUGAAACACGGUCCAGACUCCUACGGGAGGCAGCAGUGGGGAAUUUUGCGCAAUGGGGGAAACCCUGACGCAGCAACGCCGCGUGGAGGAUGAAAUCCCUUGGGAUGUAAACUCCUUUCGAUAGGGAAGAUUAUGACGGUACCUAUAGAAGAAGCCCCGGCUAACUUCGUGCCAGCAGCCGCGGUAAUACGAGGGGGGCAAGCGUUGUUCGGAAUUAUUGGGCGUAAAGGGCGCGUAGGCGGUUUGACAAGUCUGAUGUGAAAUCUCUGGGCUCAACCCAGAGUCUGCAUUAGAAACUGUCGGGCUUGAGUAUGGGAGAGGUGAGUGGAAUUUCCGGUGUAGCGGUGAAAUGCGUAGAUAUCGGAAGGAACACCUGUGGCGAAA